This 253-nucleotide ribosomal RNA is filed under the name uncultured bacterium. RNAcentral's name for it is "partial 16S ribosomal RNA". It matches the Rfam family "Bacterial small subunit ribosomal RNA", at positions 524 to 776 of the family's 1533-position model. The record is from RNAcentral.
UACGUAGGGUGCGAGCGUUAAUCGGAAUUACUGGGCGUAAAGCGUGCGCAGGCGGUUUUGUAAGCCAGAUGUGAAAGCCCCGGGCUCAACCUGGGAAUGGCAUUUGGGACUGCAAGGCUUGAGUGCGGCAGAGGAGACUAGAAUUCCUGGUGUAGCAGUGAAAUGCGUAGAUAUCAGGAGGAAUACCGAUGGCGAAGGCGGCAUCCUGGACCAAUUCUGACACUGAGGAGCGAAAGCCAGGGGAGCAAACGGG